CCUACGGGAGACAGCAGUGGGGAAUAUUGGACAAUGGGGGGAACCCUGAUCCAGCCAUGCCGCGUGUGUGAAGAAGGCCCUCGGGUUGUAAAGCACUUUCAGUGAGGAAGAACGCCUGGUGGUUAAUACCCAUCAGGAAAGACAUCACUCACAGAAGAAGCACCGGCUAACUCCGUGCCAGCAGCCGCGGUAAUACGGAGGGUGCGAGCGUUAAUCGGAAUUACUGGGCGUAAAGCGCGCGUAGGUGGCUUGAUAAGCCGGUUGUGAAAGCCCCGGGCUCAACCUGGGAACGGCAUCCGGAACUGUCAAGCUAGAGUGCAGGAGAGGAAGGUAGAAUUCCCGGUGUAGCGGUGAAAUGCGUAGAGAUCGGGAGGAAUACCAGUGGCGAAGGAGGCCUUCUGGACUGACACUGACACUGAGGUGCGAAAGCGUGGGUAGCAAACAGGAUUAGAUACCCGUGUAGUC
RNAcentral lists this ribosomal RNA (465 nucleotides) under Vreelandella stevensii. RNAcentral's name for it is "partial 16S ribosomal RNA". It matches the Rfam family "Bacterial small subunit ribosomal RNA", at positions 338 to 795 of the family's 1533-position model. Lineage: Bacteria; Pseudomonadati; Pseudomonadota; Gammaproteobacteria; Oceanospirillales; Halomonadaceae. The record is from RNAcentral.